GUGAAGAUUUGGGCAGGCCAUACGGACGCCAAAAAAGUGUCCCUGGCCGCCUACACCCACUAUACAUCCACAAACCCGUGUGCACUGUCUUGGAGAAAGGCUUCUUGAGAAGUUAUGUGACCUCUCUUGGGGUCUUUCUUCGCUACAAACUCGAAUGGUUAGUAUGAACGUGGAACUUGGUUGGACCGUCACUGGCCAACAAACUAUACA
RNAcentral lists this unclassified non-coding RNA (210 nucleotides) under uncultured Malasseziales. Its description in RNAcentral is "sequence contains ITS1". Lineage: Eukaryota; Fungi; Basidiomycota; Malasseziomycetes; Malasseziales. The record is from RNAcentral.